GAUGAACGCUGGCGGCGUGCCUAAUACAUGCAAGUCGAACGCUGGAAAUCUAGCUUGCUAGAUUGAAGGAGUGGCGAACGGGUGAGUAAUACAUAAGCAACCUACCCACGAAGACUGGGAUAAUCUCUGGAAACGGGGACUAAUACCGGAUAGGUAAUCGGAAGGCAUCUUCUGAUUAUUAAAGGUUAAAAACACUGGUGGAUGGGCUUAUGGCGCAUUAGUUAGUUGGUGAGGUAACGGCCCACCAAGACGAUGAUGCGUAGCCGGGCUGAGAGGGUGAACGGCCACAUUGGGACUGAGACACGGCCCAGACUCCUACGGGAGGCAGCAGUAGGGAAUUUUCGGCAAUGGGGGAAACCCUGACCGAGCAACGCCGCGUGAGUGAGGACGGCCUUCGGGGUGUAAAGCUCUGUUGUAAGGGAAGAACGGUAGAUAGAGAAUAUCUAAAUGACGGUACCUUACCAGAAAGCCACGGCUAACUACGUG
RNAcentral lists this ribosomal RNA (486 nucleotides) under uncultured bacterium. RNAcentral describes it as "partial 16S ribosomal RNA". It matches the Rfam family "Bacterial small subunit ribosomal RNA", at positions 28 to 507 of the family's 1533-position model. The record is from RNAcentral.